Molecule: long non-coding RNA, 1407 nt
Organism: Musa acuminata AAA Group (dessert banana)
Lineage: Eukaryota; Viridiplantae; Streptophyta; Magnoliopsida; Zingiberales; Musaceae
Exons: 4
Source: RefSeq, a predicted model, not a curated record
CUCGUCUCCGGACGAUACGAUGGCUCGGAGGUCCUCCUCCUCCUCGAGCUGCCACCGGUACCUCCACUCCGCCUACUACCUUAGGCACCCGAUGCGGCUCGCCUUCGUCUUCGUCAUCUUCGUUAUUGCCAUCUGGGAUUGGCCUUCCCUACCUAAUCCGGGAGCAUGAGGCGAGGGACGCCCCAUUCUUCGUUCCGCUCGUAUGAUUCUUUCUUCCCUAAUUUUUGUCUUUGCUUGAUUCUGAUCGUUGGCUGGAUUUGAAGUUCUUGCUGAUUGGAUCAUCUUAUAUUGCUUGCCUAUAAAAACCUACACACCAGAGUUCUUUACCUUUAAUGAGAAAAAAAAAAAAAAGGCUGGAACAAGAAUGGUCUAUCUGUGGAGCCAUCAUUUCUUCUAUGUUGGUUGGAACUGGAGAGCCCCUUAACUUUUCUGGCUGAUAUUACCCAACUUGGGGAAGAAUUGAACCGAUUGCACGAUCAUCUACAGAAAGUAGACGGGUGGUGGUCAUGCGGGGCGAAGUUUCCUCUGGUACAAAUGACAAACUUAUCAAUGAAUUUGAUCUUGUUAACAAUCAACGUAGAGAAAAGGUUAAGGUGACUACGCUUCUUUCGGGUUUGUUUUGAAUACAAUAGCCUCUCAAGGCUAUAGUCAACUAACUUCUUUUCUUGGCUUUUCAAUCUUAAGAUUCAAUUGUAAUUACGUGAUGUCUUUCCCUCUAUGACCGGUCGCAAUCAAAGAGUGGUGUGAAUAGUUUUUGUGGUCUUGGAGCAACCCUUGUGGACUCUCUCCAUGCACUAUACGUAAUGGGUCUAAAAGAUGAAUUUGAGAAGGCUAGAGAGAGGACGCUGUGACAUCCAACGACGGGUGUGUCAGGGCCUGCAGUUGGCACGCCUUGGGGGGACCUCCUCCUCCUCCACCACCACCACGAUGGCGUCAGGCGUACGGACGGCUGCAGCGGAGCAGGUACGGCGGCUCGUCCGCCCUUCCGUGGAAACACGGACAGGAGCAAGUGACGCGUCGGAGUCACGUGAGCCGAGAUGCGUUCCGUCGUCGGCCUCCUCGGGCAAGCCCACCACCAACCUGUCGCUGCUCGCGAUACGGCUACCUCGCGUGAAACCGACGGCGGCCGUGGGAGUAGGUGGCGUGUCGGCGUCACGUGAUGGGCGCAACAUGACUGCUACUACGUACGGUCGUAAGUGGAUCUUACCUUCCACGUGCGAGGCAGGUCUCUGAUCCAGUAUUUGGACUGCUGCAUCUACCGAAAGGGAAUGCGUCGAUGAAUGAUGGUCCAUAUUAGAAUGCGUAUAAUCCUAAUCUCUGUAUAAUUCCAAUGCAAGCAGACACAUUUGAUGCAUAACUUGGAACGUGUUCUCUUACACGAAUAUUAUUGUGCAACUUCAAGCCGUG